Heterocephalus glaber (naked mole-rat) is the source of this 3416-nucleotide long non-coding RNA. NCBI's taxonomy places the organism in Eukaryota, Metazoa, Chordata, Mammalia, Rodentia, Bathyergidae. The record is from Ensembl.
GUUCCCUGUUCCAGGAAAUCACGUCUCAUUUCUGAGCACCCCCACUGCACCUAAAAUCCCUGCUUGACACACCCUGAAUUUUUUUCAAGAAAAGUCAGCAAACCUGAAAUCUUAUUUUUAAAAAUCCCGGGUUAAGUUCCAUAUUUCAGCUCUGGGAACUCCUCUGACCCAAUCUGGUGACAUAGCAGAGGUCAAAUGGUAGAGAAGCUCUUGCGUAUAAAUGCAGCCUCUUUGGAGAGCAUCAGCUCAAACCUUUUCCAGUAAAGAGAAGCCAGUGACUUUCUCCAAACCAAAUUCAAGGAUAUAGCAUCUUUACUUUCUCGGGAUGGGGGCAAAACACCCGACACCCGCAAGUUAAAGGAGAAAAAAGGUUUAUUGUAGCUGUAGAGAUUGCAGACCACAGUUGGCUGGCUCUAAGGCAGGUGGCGCGGCAGGGAAGAAAGAGGCAGUAAGGAGCCUGCCUUCCCUCUUUCACUGCAUUCCGGCAACCAGUCUGUUGAUUGGUGGCACCCACACCCAGGAUGGAGCUUGUCUUGUAAAUCAGUUCAGCCACACCUAGAAUCACACUAAUCCAAUGGAUGGACUAACUAGCUGUCACAAUCCCUGAGUGUGUGUGGGGGCUCCUUGAAGCAUCUAGAAAUCCAUCCAGAAACCUGCCAGCACCUGCGCCAAAGUACUGCCCAGGGUGUGUUGGCAGCUGCCCCUGCUGCUUCCAAGCCCUUUCCGUUAGAUUUCUGCCACGUCUGCUCUCUGAACAGUGACAGUCCUGGCUCCUUUCCAAGGUACGCACACAGGGAGAUGUGUGGUCCCCCCUCUGCAUGGGGACCACUAAUAAGCUGGACACCUGUUUCUCCAUUCUUGGUGCCUUCUAGGGGGAGGAGUGAGCCUGAUGCCUUGGCUAGGUCAGCACUUUAGACCUGUGCUCUGCCUUCUGGGAACAGGGAACUUUGAUCUUACUUGCUGCACAUUGGCCCUGUGUCCAGGUACCCAUUUCUUCCAGCAGGGAAGCCAGAGCAGUCCAAGUCUGCGUGUGGCCAGAGAGGUGUAUUAGUUUGCCCCAGUUGCCAUUGUUGUGCCCAGAUCGCGAAAGCCCCAAAUUUUGAAUUAGGGUUUUUAUAGAAGCUACAGCAAGGUUUUAUCUAGCAAUUAUAAUGAUUGGUCGACGCUUAGCAUGCAUGAAGUGUAGAUUUCUGAUUGGCUAGGCUCAUCGGGGGCUUGAGGGGGAUUACGUAUAGGUUUUACAAGGGAAAAAGGGGACAAAGGUUAGUGGCCCACUGUCACAUACUGAUGGUCAGCAGACAUCCUGACUAAUAGUCACUACCACCCUGUGUGGACAGCCAGCACAUGAACAGAUUGUCCUAUAGAUAGCGGGCCCAGAACAUUUGCUUCUAGGGUAAACAAAUGGCUGGGUAAUAAACUUAGGAAUCUUGUCCUGUUACAGAUUGUGUCUCCUGUCCCAGAGCAAACACAUUUUAACCACUAAUUUGAGAGGCUAGGGGAAUGGUGGAUUUUAGCAAAAUGGAGUCGCUUUGGUCUCACACCAUAACAAAACUCUUUGGCGUACAUAGUGAUGUUUUGGAGGCUGGAAGUCUUAAGAUCUAAGGGAUGGGUAGAGUUGGUUCCUUGUGAGGCAGUGAGGGAGAAUGUUCCAGGCUCUCCUCUCCCAGCUUCUGGUGCGGUGGCACUUCUUUGGUCUUCCUUGACUUGUGGCAUAGGAAAAAAUAUAGCUUCCAACUCGUUAAUGUCAACUGUGCUAAAUUCGUGGUCUCACAACAUUAGUCUUGAACCAGUGGAGAAAGUUGAGUCCUUAUUGGAAAAAAGGGGAAGAAUAGGUCCUAGAUUUCUGGGAGGGAUCUCAAAUGGGCAGUUGGGUGAGUUCUCUGUCAGGGGUAAUUCAUACAGCAGAGUGUCAAUGUGGGUCAAACUAUAAUCAAGCUAUAAGGUGAAAAGUAUGGCUGCUUAGCUAAUAUUGAUCCAAUAGGAUAACGAGUCAGGCAGCAAGGAUACGUGGAAAGAACCAAAGGCAUUUUGGGAAGGGAUGGGUUCAGAUGCUCUGUUUAUCCACCUGGGCAUCUGAUGCCUAGCUGGACUUCCCCGGACCAGGUGGCACUAAUUACAGUGUAAUUUCAAGUUACUGCUUCUGUAGGGAGGUAUACAGACCUGGCCACUGCGUCUUGAGGCUUGGGAUUUGGAUUUGCCUCUAGCUUACAACUCUGAUGUCUAUUUUUGUUCUAACUUCCUUGACGGGGCCCAGUCCCUUUCUGUGUACCAAUUCUAUCUAACCUGGCUAUGACAGGAACAUCUUUCAUCUCUGCCUUCACUUUCACUUGUUCCCAUGUUGCAAAUUUCCCUCUUAAAAGGACAUCAGAUCCUAAUGGGUAAGGGAUCACACUACUCCAGUUGACCUCAACCGAAGUAGUUGUGUGUGGAACAACUACAUUUCCUGUCAGCCACAUUGUGAGACUGGAAGCGAGCACUUGAACAUACGACUUGUUUCAGCCUGGGCUUACCUUCCUAUUCUAAACCACAGCCCUGGCCCCUGGCUUCUGAACCCUCUUGGAGGGAAGAUUACAAGGACAGUUGAGUUUUGCAGAAAUGCUCCUGUGAGUGUCAUGGGCACCAUAACUUUGCCCACCUCUUCCUGGGGCACUUGCCCUUAGGAAAAUCUCAAACCAGGGUACAAAGGCAUCAAUGAGCAGGGAGUGGCACUACAUGUGCCUGGUGAAGGUCCCUAAAGUGACUGCAAAGUAGCUGUGGUGCCUCCAUCCUAGCUCCUGGCUCCAAAGUUGACAAUCAGUUAACGUCCAAAGUGGGCAAGUUAAAACAGCAUGCCUAAACUUCUCAAAUUUAGUGGAUUAAAGUUAAAAGGCAGCCUCUAAAAUAGUCACCAGAGUACUUUGUUUCAUCUAGAGGUUGACUUGGCAUCUCCUGUCCCUUGGACUGAGGGACUGGUUCCUCAACCUGACUGAUGCAGCCAUUGAUACUUACAAGUGUGUGACAUCGAAGACACUUAUGCUCUGGCUUGGGUCUAGGUCCUGUGUGAGAAGCAAGCCACUUAUCCGUAGGUGGGUGGGCUUCAGUGAUCACCAGUGGCAUGUUUGGACUGGACAGAAAGGGCUUCUGUACACCAACAACCUCAAUUCCUGUGCUUUGAAGUCUGUUUUCACAAUAGAUUCAAAGGGAGAGUCCAGGUUGAGGUUUGGAAGUGGAUGAGUUCAGACUCGAUGAAUCACGUAGCACCACCAUCAUGUACCUCUGGAGAACCCUUGGUUUUCAACAAGGCUUUGUCAUAUCACUGUACAUCUGUACCACUGAAACACUAAGCACCUUCUGGUGCAGAUAUGUUCCCAGAAAGUUGGUAUCACAGUUGUGCAUUGCGCUGGGGGAGAUGCUGUGGUUUUGUGCACAGUGCAGGG